GAUACCUACAAGCAAGCAGGUGUUCUUUUCAGAAGCCAGAAGCUGAUAACCUGGGCUUUCUGAUCUAACCCCAGCCCAAAUUCUUUGCAAUGGAGGAAUGGGGAGGAGAUUCUUCCUACUGAGAAGUGGGUGCCAACUCUCCCUUUCAAAUUUGUUCAUCAACAAACUAAAGGGGAUGCCAGAAAUGUCUGGAGCAAUGGAAGAACCACUGGAAUAAUGCUCCUGCCUGAUUGCAUCUACUUAACCCACUCUCCAAGAGCUAGAAUCAGAUUUCAACCGUAUGGAAUCAUCUACAAUGCAGCAGAUGGGUUUACAAGUCUCUUGGUCUCUUCGUGAAGAAGGAGUAGCAAUCGUGUCCCAAGUCCUUGAGGACUUCACAGGGCAUUCCAAUGUCCUGAGAAUAUACCUGCCUAAGGGCGUGUCUGUUAGGGAGACUCCCAUGAGGGAGGGGAGCCGAGGAAAGAGGCUGAGUGGGAUGAAGAGAGUGUGUUUGUCCCUCCAGCUGUGCCAGGGUCUUCUCAGCCCUUCUCACAGACGGCUGUCUGUGGACCUCUGUUCCUGGAAUCACCCCUCUGCACCACCCAAACUCCCUGAUUAUGAAUUGCACAAUACAUCCCUAAUUCAA
RNAcentral lists this long non-coding RNA (625 nucleotides) under Pongo abelii (Sumatran orangutan). RNAcentral describes it as "lincRNA". The record is from RNAcentral. Lineage: Eukaryota; Metazoa; Chordata; Mammalia; Primates; Hominidae.